This 253-nucleotide ribosomal RNA is filed under the name uncultured bacterium. RNAcentral describes it as "partial 16S ribosomal RNA". It matches the Rfam family "Bacterial small subunit ribosomal RNA", at positions 524 to 776 of the family's 1533-position model. The record is from RNAcentral.
UACGGGGGGGGUAAGCGUUGUUCGGAAUUACUGGGCGUAAAGGGCUCGUAGGCGGCCAACUAAGUCAGACGUGAAAUCCCUCAGCUUAACUGGGGAACUGCGUCUGAUACUGGAUGGCUUGGAUUUGGGAGAGGAAUGCGGAAUUCCAGGUGUAGCGGUGAAAUGCGUAGAUAUCUGGAGGAACACCGGUGGCGAAAGCGGCUUGCUGGGCGUGAUCUGACGCUGAGGCGCGAAAGCGUGGGGAGCGAACAGG